This 483-nucleotide ribosomal RNA is filed under the name uncultured bacterium. Its description in RNAcentral is "bacterial SSU rRNA". It matches the Rfam family "Bacterial small subunit ribosomal RNA", at positions 9 to 524 of the family's 1533-position model. The record is from RNAcentral.
GAGUUUGAUCCUGGCUCAGGACGAACGCUGGCGGUGUGCUUAAUACAUGCAAGUCGAACGGACCCUUCGGGGUUAGUGGCGGACGGCUGAGUAACACGUAGGUAAUCUGCCCUUUUCUGGGGGAUAACAGCGGGAAACCGCUGCUAAUACCGCAUAAGCCCGAGGUUGCAAUACCUUUGGUUAAAGAUUUAUCGGAAAAGGAUGAGCCUGCGUCUGAUUAGCUUGUUGGUAGGGUAAAGGCCUACCAAGGCGAUGAUCAGUAGUUGGUCUGAGAGGAUGACCAGCCAGAGUGGGACUGAGACACGGCCCACACUUCUACGGAAGGCAGCAGUAGGGAAUUUUGCGCAAUGGGCGAAAGCCUGACGCAGCAACACCGCGUGGAGGAUGAAGGUUCUCGGAUUGUAAACUCCUGUCAGCAGGGAUAAUUUUGACUGUACCUGCAGAGGAAGCAUCGGCUAACUACGUGCCAGCAGCCGCGGUAAG